CGGUGCUUUCUCGGGGCAGCGUCUCCUCUUCCCCCUGGGCAGCUGUGGAAGCUCAGUGACUGGGAGGUGCUCCUCCCGCCUCCGCGCAGGCAGCCGCAGGAACCUGUUGCCAGAAGAAUCAAGUCUGUGGAAAUGAAAGCAGCUGUGUGGAGAAGAAAUCUCUUGUGAGUGCUUGGCCUGUGUGCUCCUGAGCCCUCACAACUGCUUAGGGGCAAAUGGCAACAGCGCUACCUGCAGAGGACUUGAAAGUGA
This 252-nucleotide long non-coding RNA is filed under the name Dasypus novemcinctus (nine-banded armadillo). RNAcentral describes it as "lncRNA (ENSDNOG00000051632.1)". The record is from RNAcentral. Lineage: Eukaryota; Metazoa; Chordata; Mammalia; Cingulata; Dasypodidae.